CUUCCAUCUGAGUUCUUUCAUGAGUCUGUGAGACCAGGGCUUGUCUGAAUCCCACGGCCAAAUCCUCGACUGUUUCUCUCCAGGUGGGACAUUGGACUGUCACCAUUCUAAGCACAGUGACCAAUCCUCUGGAUAUCCCUUCUUGGCAAAAGAUGGACUGAGGAGACCUUGAUGGCAUUUGAUGGGUUUCCUGCAUUAGAGUCUGUGGCUGUGAGCUCUGGGAGAAUUGGCACACUGGGAGAUUUCAUGGGUGGCUGCCGUGGUGACACAGAGAGAGACGUAUGAGCAAUACUCCAAAUGGAAUCCCUGACAAGAAGGAAUUUUGAAG
This is a long non-coding RNA of Hirundo rustica (Barn swallow), 328 nucleotides long. RefSeq lists it as uncharacterized. NCBI's taxonomy places the organism in Eukaryota, Metazoa, Chordata, Aves, Passeriformes, Hirundinidae. The transcript has 3 exons. The record is from RefSeq and is a predicted model, not a curated record.